This 516-nucleotide ribosomal RNA is filed under the name uncultured bacterium. RNAcentral's name for it is "partial 16S ribosomal RNA". It matches the Rfam family "Bacterial small subunit ribosomal RNA", at positions 28 to 523 of the family's 1533-position model. The record is from RNAcentral.
GACGAACGCUGGCGGCGUGCCUAACACAUGCAAGUCGAACGGAGUGUUUAUUUAUAAACACUUAGUGGCGAACGGGUGAGUAACGCGUAGACAACCUACGCUCUAGAUGGGGACAACACCGCGAAAGUGGUGCUAAUACCGAAUGUUGCAAUGUUAUUGCAUAAUGAUAUUACUAAAGGUGGCCUCUAUAUAAAAGCUACCGCUAGAAGAUGGGUCUGCGUCUGAUUAGCUGGUUGGGGAGAUAACAGCUCACCAAGGCAAUGAUCGGUAGCCGGCCUGAGAGGAUGAACGGCCGCACUGGGACUGAGACACGGCGCAGACUCCUACGGGGGGCAGCAGUGGGGAAUCUUGCGCAAUGGACGACAGUCUGACGGAGCAACGCCGCGUGAGUGAAGAAGGUUUUCGGAUCGUAAAGCUCUGUCUUCAAGGACGAAUGUAGAUAUUGUGAAUAAUGAUAUUUAAUGACGGUACUUGCGGAGGACGCCACGGCUAACUACGUGCCAGCAGCCGCAGUAA